AGUGAACGCUGGCGGUAGGCCUAACACAUGCAAGUCGAACGGCAGCACAGGAGAGCUUGCUCUCUGGGUGGCGAGUGGCGGACGGGUGAGGAAUACAUCGGAAUCUACUCUGUCGUGGGGGAUAACGUAGGGAAACUUACGCUAAUACCGCGUACGACCUACGGGUGAAAGCAGGGGACUUUCGGGCCUUGCGCGAUUGAAUGCGCCGAUGUCGGAUUAGCUAGUUGGCGGGGUAAAGGCCCACCAAGGCGACGAUCCGUAGCUGGUCUGAGAGGAUGAUCAGCCACACUGGAACUGAGACACGGUCCAGACUCCUACGGGAGGCAGCAGUGGGGAAUAUUGGACAAUGGGCGCAAGCCUGAUCCAGCCAUACCGCGUGGGUGAAGAAGGCCUUCGGGUUGUAAAGCCCUUUUGUUGGGAAAGAAAUCCAGCUGGCUAAUACCCGGUUGGGAUGACGGUACCCAAAGAAUAAGCACCGGCUAACUUCGUGCCAGCCGCCGCAGUAA
RNAcentral lists this ribosomal RNA (506 nucleotides) under uncultured bacterium. Its description in RNAcentral is "partial 16S ribosomal RNA". It matches the Rfam family "Bacterial small subunit ribosomal RNA", at positions 29 to 523 of the family's 1533-position model. The record is from RNAcentral.